RNAcentral lists this ribosomal RNA (460 nucleotides) under uncultured bacterium. RNAcentral's name for it is "partial 16S ribosomal RNA". It matches the Rfam family "Bacterial small subunit ribosomal RNA", at positions 338 to 795 of the family's 1533-position model. The record is from RNAcentral.
CCUACGGGCGGCAGCAGUGAGGAAUAUUGGUCAAUGGACGAGAGUCUGAACCAGCCAAGUAGCGUGAAGGAUGACUGCCCUAUGGGUUGUAAACUUCUUUUAUAUGGGAAUAAAAUGUUCCACGUGUGGGAUUUUGUAUGUACCAUAUGAAUAAGGAUCGGCUAACUCCGUGCCAGCAGCCGCGGUAAUACGGAGGAUCCGAGCGUUAUCCGGAUUUAUUGGGUUUAAAGGGAGCGUAGGUGGAUUGUUAAGUCAGUUGUGAAAGUUUGCGGCUCAACCGUAAAAUUGCAGUUGAAACUGGCAGUCUUGAGUACAGUAGAGGUGGGCGGAAUUCGUGGUGUAGCGGUGAAAUGCUUAGAUAUCACGAAGAACUCCGAUUGCGAAGGCAGUUCACUGGACUGCAACUGACACUGAGGCGCGAAAGUGUGGGUAUCAAACAGGAUUAGAUACCCCAGUAGUC